UCGAGAUCUUCCUUCGGCCGCCAUUCGUUCUGAACGCCAUCCUACGGAAAGGAACGGAGGUGGGCGUUUCAUAUUCGAGAAACGCGAUACGAGUAAUCCACGAAUCGGUUCGUGUUCAUAAGAAGCAACAAUCGGACCCAUCCUCAUUUCCAUACCACGGAUGAUAUUUCUUCCCUUAUUCUACGUGCACCAGCAGGCGGAUAUUGCAUAGAACGCGCGAAUCGACGUCUCUGUUUCGUUCGAAGAGGAUUCGAGAUCGUGUUCGAUACGUUGCUUUUUCGAUGCUACUUUUGAAACGUGAUGACGCAUCCCAAUAUUCGAACUGGCUGUGCCACUCAAGCGUUUGGGUUUAUUCAUUUUUCCGUGCAUCGUUUGUUUAUCGUUUCUUUUCACUUAUUUCUACUUAUUCGUUUCUUUCUUCCUUUGCAUGCUUUUUUUUGCACGUGUUUCUCUUUUUUCGUGCUGUUCGAGUUUCUUUUGUUUUUUUACUACAAGAGUGUAUUAUUGUAUAUUGUAAUAUUUGCAUAUAAUGUGUACAGGAAGAUGAAAUUUAACGCAAGAAUUGACAAGUUGAACGUGAAUUUGUACGCUUUUAAUUGAUUGACGAAUUGUUAAAGUUGAAAUAGAAGAUUGUAAAUCAAUAAUAAUAUUUAAUAUCUAAUUGACCAACCUUGAUUCACGAGAUAUAUUGUAUCUCGAACAGUUUUGAUGAUUCAACAAUGAAAUUUAUAGGAUAUUUAUUUAAAAAAAACAUAGAAUCUAAUUAUUUGAUCGAAAGUUCGGAAAAUAUAACUUAUUCACUUUAUAUAAAAUAAACAAUACGUUAAUAAUAUUUUAACUUACUUCAAAACUGUUCAAAAUAUAAUAUAUUUCGUAAAUCAAUAUUGGCCAAUUGAUAUUAGAUAUUAUCAUUUUUGAUUUACAAUACAUAUUCUAACUUUCAAAGUUUAGAUCCUUGACUGUUGGAUUUUCUACGAGAAUGGAAGAGUUUGAUACAGUACAAGUUAUUUCAACUAACAAAUAUGUUUACUUCAAAACUAUUGAUAUUAGAUAUUAUUAUUAUUGAUUUGACAACACUUAUUCUAACUUUCAGAGUUUAGAUCCUUGAUUGUUGGAUUUUCCACGGGAGUUUGAUAUCGUACAAGUGCAAGUAAAUCCUCGGAUGAGUCAAGAAAAUAGGAAGAUAACGAUCCACACGGUGCCAUGAAAUCGCUAUGUAAUCCACCUAUUAAACCUGUUUCCCAACAAUUAAGCUGCGUGCAAUUCGAUGGAUUAAAGAGCUUGAUAAUUAAGUGUUUUCGGCAAAACUCGCGCUCCAUUUGUUCCAUCCGGCAGGGAACGGACCAACCGAGAUAUUAAAUCUCUCUCGUCCCUUUUCUCGAGGAAAGUGAUGAUGAAUUUAAAGAGAAUAAGGGAAUAAUCCAAUGGAAUGAUACCCGCAUUACGUGUGGUCAAACAUGCGCCAGAAAUCGGUUAAAUCCAUUAAGGAGAAUUCUCAGUUUAUCCAUUCUUCUUGUGUGUAAUUCCUUUCCCCCUUUUUUCAAAUUUUUAUCAGAUUUUUUUUUUUUUUUAGAAAAGUUAUGAAUGGUACGAGAUUACAUUUCGUCGGACGUAAGAUGAAAAAAGAGGAAUGAUAAUUUUAGUGAAAAAUGGAGUUUUAAUACAAGCGGAUAUGCAUUCGAUAAUAUUGUAUUUUUUUUCAAUUUUAAAAAUUUUUGGAUAAGAAGAUUUACAAAAGAUUACAAAUCAUGAUCCAUUUUACCAUGGAAAAUACAAAAGAAGAAAAAUAAUUUUAAUAAAAGAUGAAUAUGCAUUUUAUGCAUUUCGUUCUUUUAUUCUUUUUUCUUUCUAAUAAUAAUAUAAAUUUGGUGAAUACUCUUUUCUAUUUUUUUUUCAA
Apis cerana (Asiatic honeybee) is the source of this 1897-nucleotide long non-coding RNA. RefSeq lists it as uncharacterized. NCBI's taxonomy places the organism in Eukaryota, Metazoa, Arthropoda, Insecta, Hymenoptera, Apidae. The record is from RefSeq and is a predicted model, not a curated record.